Grammomys surdaster is the source of this 492-nucleotide long non-coding RNA. RefSeq lists it as uncharacterized. The transcript has 3 exons. NCBI's taxonomy places the organism in Eukaryota, Metazoa, Chordata, Mammalia, Rodentia, Muridae. The record is from RefSeq and is a predicted model, not a curated record.
CGCCACAGCUCUGUGUAUGGGAGUGUCUACGCCAUCGCUGAUGUGGCUUUUUGUGUGGGCUUUGCUAUUGGCCCAUCUACCGGGGGUGUUAUUGUACAGGUCAUCGGCUUCCCUUGGCUCAUGGUCAUCAUUGGUACCAUCAACAUCAUCUAUGCCCCUCUCUGCUGCUUCCUGAAGAACCCACCAGCAAAGGAGGAGAAGCUGGCAAUUCUGAACCAGGAGUGCUCCACAGAGACCCAGAUGUACACAGUCCAGAAGCCCACAAAGGAGUUUCCACUGGGAGAGAACAGCGAUGACCCUGCCAGUGAGGACUAGCUGCAAAGGGUGAUAUCUGGGCCUCAUUCCAGGUGACCCCAGGAAGCUUGGAGCUCAGUGUUCCCGGGGACCGGAUCACCACGGAUUCAGGGGGUUUCACUUUCCUCUCCUCUGGGUGACUCCCUUCUUACUGAUAGCUUGCCCUUACUCACCUGUCAGUGUGACCCACCACUCUCC